Molecule: ribosomal RNA, 253 nt
Filed under: uncultured bacterium
Lineage: Bacteria
Description: partial 16S ribosomal RNA
Rfam family: Bacterial small subunit ribosomal RNA
Source: RNAcentral
UACGAAGGGGGCUAGCGUUGCUCGGAAUUACUGGGCGUAAAGGGUUCGUAGGUGGCUUGUUAAGUCAGAGGUGAAAUCCCUCAGCUUAACUGGGGAACUGCGUCUGAGACUGAUGAGCUCGAGUGCAGGAGAGGAACGCGGAAUUCCAGGUGUAGCGGUGAAAUGCGUAGAUAUCUGGAGGAACACCGGUGGCGAAGGCGGCGUUCUGGACUGCAACUGACACUGAGGAACGAAAGCCAGGGGAGCAAACGGG